RNAcentral lists this ribosomal RNA (2158 nucleotides) under hot springs metagenome. RNAcentral describes it as "bacterial LSU rRNA". It matches the Rfam family "Bacterial large subunit ribosomal RNA", at positions 251 to 2410 of the family's 2925-position model. The record is from RNAcentral.
AAGUGCCAUGGUGGCAGCCUUAGCUUUGUAGGGGUCGUGAGGCGCAUCUUCAAGACUCUGCCAGGUCUUGCGGAAGUUACAAAACUUUAUGCUAGCAGAAGCACUUGGAACAGUGCGCCAUAGAAGGUGAAAGCCCUGUAUGCGAAAGCAUAAAGUCUUCCGGAUGCGUCCUCGAGUACUACCGCCCCCGCGGAAGGUGGUAGGAAUCUGGGGAGACCACUCUCCAAGGCUAAGUACUACUAGCUGACCGAUAGCGCAUAGUACCGCGAGGGAAAGGCGAAAAGAACCCCGGAAGGGGAGUGAAAUAGAGCCUGAAACCAAGGAUCUACAACCCAGUGGAAGAGGCUUUUGCCUCGACUGCGUGCCUUUUGCAAAAUGAGCCAGGGAGUUGUCCUAAGCUGCAAGGUUAAGUCGCAAGACGAAGCCGAAGGGAAACCGAGUCCGAAUAGGGCGUUAAGUAGCUUGGGGCAGACGCGAAGCGGAACGAUCUACCCAUGCCCAAGGUGAAGGACAGGUAAUACUGUCUGGAGGCCUGAACCAGUCGGUGCUGCAAAACCGUUGGAUGAGGUGUGGGUAGCGGUGAAAAGCCAAUCGCGUUCCGGGAUAGCUCGUUCUCUCCGAAAUAGGUCGACGCCUAGCGUCAUGGUAGCUUCUCUCAGGUAGAGCCACUGGAAGGGCUAGGGCCUCGAAAGGGGUACCGAACCCUACCAAACUCCGAAUGGGGAGAAAGCGGUCCAUGGCAGUCAGUACCCGGGGGAUAAGCUCCAGGUACGAGAGGGAAAGAACCCAGACCGUCAGCUAAGGUCCCUAAACUGAGCUAAGUGGGGAAGGAUGUGAAACCCCUAAAACAGCCAGGAGGUUGGCUUAGAGGCAGCCAUCCUUUAAAGAGUGCGUAACAGCUCACUGGCCUAUUGGGGUUUCGCGCCGAAAAUUUAGCGGGGCUAAGCUCAGUACCGAAGCUACGGACAGCGUUAAGCUGUGGUAGGAGAGCGUUCCCUGUUGGCUGAAGUCAAAGCCGUAAGGCAUGAUGGACGACAGGGAAGUGAGGAUCCUGGCAUGAGUAGUAGCGAAGAUAGAUGAGAAAUCUAUCCGCCGGAAGCCCAAGGUUUUGGCGUCAAUGUAAAUCAUACGCCAGUUAGCCGGUACCUAAGGUGAGGCCGAUGAGGCGUAGCCGAUGGAAAACGGGUCAACAUUCCCGUGCCAGCUAAGUGGAGGUUAAGUCAUGACGUAGGAAGCUAAAGGCAGCCUGCUAUGGAAUGCAGGUUCAAGGUAGUAGGAGGAAGGGAUAGGCAAAUCCGUCUCUUCAUACUCCGAGAGCUGAUGAAGUAAUUGCCUUGACGCUACACUACCGAGAAACAAUGGCGUAACCUUUGAAGCUUAGCUGACCGUACUGGAAACCGACACAGGUGGGCUGGGUUAGUAGCCUAAGGCGUCGGGGGAACUCUCCUCAAGGAACUCGGCAAAUUGACCCCGUACCUUCGGAAGAAGGGGUGCCCAUGGAGGUUGUAGUUUUUCGGCGAAGGCCUCCGUGGGUCGCAGAGACCAGGUGGUGCCGACUGUUUACCAAAAACACAGGACUACGCAAACUCGAAAGAGGACGUAUGUGGUCUGAAACCUGGCCAGUGCUCGUAGGUUAAGAGGCGGGGUGCAAGCCCCAAAUCGAAGCCCGGGUAAACGCCGGCCGUAACUAUGACGGUCCUAAGGUAGCGAAAUUCCUUGUCGGGUAAGUUCCGACCUGCAUGAAUGGUCCAACGAGUGCCACGCUGUCUCGAGGAGAGACCCGAUGAAAUUGUGAUGCCGGUCAAGACACCGGCUACCCACGGCAGGACGGAAAGACCCCGUGAAGCUUCACUGUAACCUGACAUUGGACUUUGACCUAUCCUGCGCAGGAUAGGUGGGAGGCUAGGAAGCCCCUCUUUCGGGAGGGGUGGAGCCGCCGGUGAGAUACCACCCUGGAUAGGUUAGAGUUCUAACCUUAGCAGGUGAGCCUUGCAAGGGACAGUGUCAGGCGGGCAGUUUAGCUGGGGCGGCUGCCUCCUAAAGAGUAACGGAGGCGUCCAAAGGUACCCUCAGGCGAGUCGGAAAUUCGCCAUCGAGUACAAAGGCAUAAGGGUGCCUGACUGUGAGACAGACAUGUCGAGCAGACGCGAAAGCGGGG